GUGAUAACGAGUGGCCUUGUGCCGCGAAGUGAUUGAUACCAUGCUUCCAAGAAAAGCCUCUAAGCUUCAGUUACAAAGAGACCGUACCGCAAACCGACACAGGUGGGCAGGAUGAGAAUUCUAAGGCGCUUGAGAGAACUCAGGAGAAGGAACUCGGCAAAUUAGCACCGUAACUUCGGGAGAAGGUGCGCCCUGGUAGCGUGAAAGCCCUCGCGGCUGGAGCGUGAAAGGGUUGCAGUGAAAUGGUGGCUGCGACUGUUUAAUAAAAACACAGCACUCUGCAAACACGAAAGUGGACGUAUAGGGUGUGACGCCUGCCCGGUGCCGGAAGGUUAAGUGAUGGGGUGCAAGCUCUUGAUCGAAGCCCCGGUAAACGGCGGCCGUAACAAUAACGGUCCUAAGGUAGCGAAAUUCCUUGUCGGGUAAGUUCCGACCUGCACGAAUGGCGUAACGAUGGCCACACUGUCUCCUCCUGAGACUCAGCGAAGUUGAAAUGUUUGUGAAGAUGCAAUCUCCCCGCGGCAAGACGGAAAGACCCCAUGAACCUUUACUGUAGCUUUGCAUUGGACUUUGAACCGGUCUGUGUAGGAUAGGUGGGAGGCUUUGAAGCUGGGACGCUAGUUCUGGUGGAGCCAACCUUGAAAUACCACCCUGGUUUGUUUGAGGUUCUAACCAUGGCCCGUGAAUCCGGGUCUGGGACCGUGCAUGGUAGGCAGUUUGACUGGGGCGGUCUCCUCCCAAAGUGUAACGGAGGAGUACGAAGGUACGCUAGGUACGGUCGGACAUCGUGCUAAUAGUGCAAUGGCAUAAGCGUGCUUGACUGCGAGACCCACAAGUCGAGCAGGUACGAAAGUAGGUCAUAGUGAUCCGGUGGUUCUGUAUGGAAGGGCCAUCGCUCAACGGAUAAAAGGUACUCUGGGGAUAACAGGCUGAUACCGCCCAAGAGUUCAUAUCGACGGCGGUGUUUGGCACCUCGAUGUCGGCUCAUCACAUCCUGGGGCUGUAGCCGGUCCCAAGGGUAUGGCUGUUCGCCAUUUAAAGUGGUACGUGAGCUGGGUUUAAAACGUCGUGAGACAGUUUGGUCCCUAUCUGCCGUGGGCGCUGGAAAUUUGAAGGGACCUGCUCCUAGUACGAGAGGACCGGAGUGGACUAACCUCUGGUGUACCGGUUAUGACGCCAGUCGUAUCGCCGGGUAGCUAAGUUGGGAAGAGAUAAACGCUGAAAGCAUCUAAGCGUGAAACUCGCCUUAAGAUAAGAUUUCCCUGGGGACUUGAUCCCCCUGAAGGGUCGUCGAAGACCACGACGUUGAUAGGCUGGGUGUGGAAGCGCAGCAAUGCGUUAAGCUAACCAGUACUAAUUGCCCGUGUGGCUUGAUUG
Molecule: ribosomal RNA, 1377 nt
Filed under: metagenome
Description: bacterial LSU rRNA
Rfam family: Bacterial large subunit ribosomal RNA
Source: RNAcentral